UACGUAGGGUGCGAGCGUUAAUCGGAAUUACUGGGCGUAAAGCGUGCGCAGGCGGUUUUGUAAGCCAGAUGUGAAAGCCCCGGGCUUAACCUGGGAAUGGCAUUUGGGACUGCAAGGCUUGAGUGCGGCAGAGGAGACUGGAAUUCCUGGUGUAGCAGUGAAAUGCGUAGAUAUCAGGAGGAAUACCGAUGGCGAAGGCAGGUCUCUGGGCUGGCACUGACGCUCAUGCACGAAAGCGUGGGGAGCAAACAGG
RNAcentral lists this ribosomal RNA (253 nucleotides) under uncultured bacterium. RNAcentral's name for it is "partial 16S ribosomal RNA". It matches the Rfam family "Bacterial small subunit ribosomal RNA", at positions 524 to 776 of the family's 1533-position model. The record is from RNAcentral.